GGUGGCUCAGUGGUAGAGUGCUUGCUUUGCAUGCAAGAGGUCUGGGGUUCGAUUCCUCAGCACCA
This 65-nucleotide transfer RNA is filed under the name Dipodomys ordii (Ord's kangaroo rat). It matches the Rfam family "tRNA". From Rfam's summary of the family: Transfer RNA (tRNA) molecules are approximately 80 nucleotides in length. Lineage: Eukaryota; Metazoa; Chordata; Mammalia; Rodentia; Heteromyidae. The record is from Rfam by way of RNAcentral.